RNAcentral lists this small RNA (11572 nucleotides) under Rattus norvegicus (Norway rat). Its description in RNAcentral is "uncharacterized LOC102549347". Lineage: Eukaryota; Metazoa; Chordata; Mammalia; Rodentia; Muridae. The record is from RNAcentral.
CCCGCACGCUGCUUCGUGUGCGCUGUCGUUAGGGCGCCGUGGCCUCGCGUCCGGCGUGGGACUCUGGCGAGGAGACGGAGUGAGUGAGGAAUUCGUACAAGGGACUCUCAACCGCAGAGAGCCGUAGGAAGAAAUGAGGUGGAACCCGCAGACUUUUUAGAGCCUUCUCGCGGCCGAGGAGGGACUCUGGCUUAUUUCCUAACUCACCGUUCACUCGUGCUUUAUAGUUGAACAAUAGUUAAAUAUUUAAAGAUUCAGACAAAGCAGCAGCCGGGCUGGGAUGUGUCCAAUGAACCUUGUUACCAAGGGGGAAAUGCUGCCACUCUGUGGGAAAGAGAUUUUGUUGUUUGUUUUUAAUUUAAGAGCCUAACUUAUUUCACAAAGGAAUGGUCGAUACUUGCCCAAAGUAAACUGUCAAUAAUUAAACUGUCAGGGCAUAGAGAUCCCACAGAAGUACUUGUUCUUCCAAUACAUAAAUAAAGGACUUCAAAAGUCAACAAACAGAAAGGGGUGCGUUAAAUGGGUCUUCUAAUCUACAGGAACUGAAAGAUUAGCUCUGGUUUGGUUGGUGCUCACAUUUUGUGAUUGCUUGCCUGAACUACUUGCUCUGUUUGACCGCCUCUGGCGAAUGUUGCAAGACCUCCUCACUGUUGUGUGCCAAAUAAAGCAGGUUUUUAUUCCUGAGAGACUGUGAGUGUUCUCUUUGAGGGGCAAGCCGAGACAUGUAUGAGUAGUUAAAGUAUAACAACAGUAACCAUUAUUUACCGAGAAGCAGACUUUGGCAGAUAAUCUAAGGAUCUAAAAUACUGCUCCUCGGGUAUAUUGCUAAUGGUUGCAUAUUGUAUUAGCAGCAGUGGUCUUCUUAUUCUUGGGUGAAAACCUGAAGGGUUGCUUAGACCUGUUGCAGAACAAACAGCACAUAACCAGCUUGUAUCAGGGACAUGGUCACUUCAGUAGAUGGUUUCUCACAAGUUCUGCCUCCCACUGUGUUGCUGUUUUAUCUCUAAAGGCCCCAGGGUCCCCACAAGUCUUGGGAAUAAAAGGAAGCACAGUAAGGAACUGAAAAGUACUCACACAAAGGAAAGAAAGAAGCAAGCUUCUUUGGCUAUAGUGUACUGGAGACCUUGGGAUCUUUACGUUCUUGUUUUAGGGAUCAAUCUCCUGGUACAUUAGGCAGACUUGUGCAAACCCAAGAACAGCAUAGAGGUUGCUAUAGAGGACAGCCUUACUGUGGCCCUUCAUUACCUUAACCAAAGAUGGUAAGUAAGAUUGGCUCCCACACCGUGAACUGUUCAAUGGUGAGCAGCUCUUGAGUCUCCAUACUGAUACCCCUUCAGAACUCAUUCACUCUGAGAGCCUUUUCCUCUUAGACUAGAAAGCUUCCUAGUUGACCUCUAGUCAUUUGGGCUCCUUCACAUCAGUAAAUUAGUCUAUAUCUGACCAGUCCUCUAGCUCCUUAUCCUUUCUGAGAGGAAGGGGAGUAGUUGUGGUUUUGUUUGUUUGAGUCUUGCUAUGUAGUGGAGGCUAUACUUGGACCCUGGGUCAUUCUGGUCCAGCCUCUUAAGUAAUGGAAUGAUGGACAUUCACCACCGCUAUUGUCUCUUAACUCGGACUUUAGUGUCUCCCAAAUGUCCUUCAGACAUCGUUUUUAAAUAACAAUAAGUUCUGCCUUGUUCGUAAGUAAAUUUUAGCCAGGUGUAACCCCCUAGACUUGAAAGGUGAAGACAAGCAGGUUAAGAAUUCAAUAUCUUGAUAGGCAUGCAGUGAGUUUGAACCAUUCCAGGCUACUUGAGACCCUGCCUCAGAGAGGAGGUAGGGUGUUGAGGUAGUUCCCAUUGGAGUCCAGACUGGGAAGAGCUGUGUAUUCAAAAUUAAAACAGCUUGCCUGCAUAGGGAACUCUAAAGCGAAGGAAGAUCUACACAGUAUUUGUGAUUACACAAAGCCUUAAAAAAUUGUAAGUUUGCUUUUCUCUUGAGAAGGUGAUGUCUAGCAGACUUGUCAUUCAUUGGUCUCUAAAGUCUUUCUACCUUUGUAAGUACAAAGUUAAGUCUCACUCUAACCGUGUGUCAAUGAAAGGAGCAUGCCCUGAAUAAGAUUGUACUGUAGGGAUGUGAUUUGCUCUGGUUAAAAGGUGCUGAAAGGUCUCUCACCUGUACUUGGCCUUCUGCCCCCCACCCCUAGUUACCCUGUACAUAUAUGACUUCUUCUGGUAGGAUUGGGUUUUAUCCCUGAAGUUUUAUUUUUACAGUUUUGCUUUUCAUCCAAACACAGUGCAAAUGCCUCUCUUCAUCAGCACGUUUGUAACUUUAAGAAUUAAUUGGGCUCGUUAUAUUUUGAAGAGCAUGCUGAAGAAUAGUAAAUUUUAAAGAACCAGCUGAGAACAUUGUGUACCAUGUUCUGAAGUCAGUGCGUCUCAAAUACUGUCGCUAAUCCUGAAGUAAAUCACCCAUCAAAGAUUCAUGUUCUUAGACAGUUAAAGAACAGAAGACUUCAAAAGUAAAGCAGGAUUCUAAACAUACCUUACCAAAAUCCCCACUCGCUCAGAGUCUUGGCAGAAGUGUUUUUGUUUUUCUUUUUCCCUCCACAAAGUAGAGUUAUACUUUUUGAGUCUAUCAUUGCCCACAACUAAAAUCCCCGACUUCAGGAUUUCCUGCUGCCCAGGUGGUGGCAGCAUGUCUCAGAGAGCUAGUGUGCUGGGGAAAGGCUUAACCCCAGCCUGGCUGGCUGGCUGCUUGUUUGAACGUGCAUAACCUGCCUCUGUGCAGAACGCUUUCACUUCUCCAUUUAUCGACCCAUGAGUGAUUCAUCCCACUGUAGCCUCCUCUUCUAGGUACAUUACACUCCAGUAGUUUCUCUUCAGCUUGUUCUGUCUAUAAAGUAUCUAUCAGACUCUCUCUAGAAAACUCAUUAGGACCUAUCAGGCGAGACAGUGUUAUUUCAGUUGUUAUUUUUAACCAGUAUUUGAUAUUAUUGGCAGUACUGACAGUAUCAGUAUUAGCUAAUACUACUAAGAAAUGUCUGCUUAAAAUAAAGGCAUGGUGUCUUAAACUCACAGAUUCAUCAGCGGAGGAGCUUAUGAAAAGCAGAAUUAGGACUCAAACGAACAAGAAACUCCACAGAGAGUAAUGCGAGAUUAUCAUUUAUGGGUCUAAGAAGACAGAGGGUAUAGGACGCUGGCAGUCAAGGCUGAAUUCCAUCCCCAGAUCCCAACUCAUGGAAGAUCAGACACGAAAGUGUAUGUUGGGGGAAGACAAAGACUCGUGCCCCAAUGUAAGACCUUAAGGAUGGAGGGAGAUGCUCCUGUCUGAAGCCAUCAAUUUGCCAGGCUGUUCUCUAAAAUCGGAUGGAUCUUGGGGAAUGACUACGGACCGUUGCUGACUUAACUAAAUAGUACCUGAGUUCUGAGCCUCCAGCCUGGACUCGUGCUUCAGAUAAUGAUACUACCACAAAUACAAAGUCUUCAUCUGUUGAUUUGACGAGUGUCUUUAUCCUGUUCCAGUGGGAAGAGAAACAGUCCACCUUCACCAAAUACAGGCAAGGCUGUUAACUCCUCCACCCUCGAUCAUAAUAAAAAUGAAUUAAUCGGAAUCAUUUGAAUAUCCGUUAUAACAAUGGCCUGAUCCCGUUUAUCGACCAUAUUGUACUGAUUGGAUCUGAUGAACAAAAGACAGCCACUAUGCUGAAUACCUUUGCUCCAGAAGGAGGGGGUAAAUGCUAUAAAGACUAAAAGUUUUCUGACUCUUUAUUUUUUUUUUUAAUGUGUCUGCAUGCUCUUGUGUGUGCAUGCAUGUAGAGGCCAUAGGCAGCCUCAAGUGUCACCCUCAGGAAUGCCAUCUACCUCCUUUGCUUCGCACAGAAGCCGGUUGUCAUCCUCUGAGCUGCUCUAAUGAGAUGCAAGGACCGAAGGAUGGCUGAGGGCCAGGGAGGAGCUCAAUCCUGUCCUUGGGAGUCGGUCUGGUCACGUUCUCUUCUUUCAAGCUGAAGAUGGCACCCGCUCGGCUAAGCCGGUGAAUGUGGACUUACAAGGACUCAGCCAAGUCGUGUCUAGAUUACAGGCCAAAGAUGACGAGGGAAAGAGAGCACCAGGCAAAACAAAUUUUAAUUACAAUAAUGAUGAAUGGUCCAAUAGAGCUGCAAGAUAAUGGAAGGAAGAUGGGGUACCUGAAGCCAGCUCGUUAAAAUCAGAAAAGGUGUCCUCGAGGAAACGUGGGUCCCAGACUUAAGGUAAGUAUAAAACUAAUGAGUGUGAAUAUGGCAGAAUGAACACAGCGAAGGAGUAAGGAGAGCUAAGGGGUCCAGUUGUCAAAUGAGCAGGGAGAUGGCAUGUGAUUACUUGAAGAAGAGGGAGGACCCUCUAGGGAGUAGGGGGCUGCUGACAGAAGACAAAACUGAGGGGUUGAGCGGUCUGAACAGGAGAGGUGAGGACACACCUUCUGGUGGUGGCAGAGGGAGGGGGUCUAGGGGAGAUGGCUUAUUACUCAGGGUGGGGCAAGGAUAGGCAGCAAAAGCAUCAGGGGCUGGUCUCGGAGUCCGGUCUGGCGAUGCUAUAGCAGAAAGGUUAGGGCUGCCUGCUCACAGGAUUCGGGUAAAGCCUGAGACAGAGGGGUGGGGGAGGGGAGACAACUGUUCUGAUCCAAACUUCCUAACUUUAGAGCAUACACAUCAGCAACUGAUGAGUCGCACUUGAGGUGGAAACCAAUAUGCCAGUGCCAUUUGGUGGAAGAACACAUGGGAGAGGAUGCCUUACUGACCUGGGAGGAAUUUUGAGUGUGACUUUAUUUAUCGCUGUGUUUUAGUGAUUUGUAGUCAGUUUUUUAAUAAGACUGGGAAGACCAUUUCCUUUUUUUCCUUUUUUUUUUUGUUUUUUGUUUGUUUGUUUGUUUUGUUUUGUUUUUUUUAGACAAAGCUUAGGUGGCCCAGGCUGACCCUGAACUUCUGAUCUUCUUGCUUUGCCUCUGGAGAGUUGGGGGUUACAGAAGGGCACCGUCGUGCUUUGCUUAGGAGACCUUGAGAAUUAGCUGUGUUGACUUGGAGAGCACACUUUACUUCAGGAUGACCCACAGACUCUAUUCUCAUCCACUGGUUGUGGUAGUUUGUUCAGUUCUUCCAUUUUAGGUACCUUUGCCCCAAGCUCAAGCGUUUUUUAUUUAGACAUCAAUAGAAUAGGAGCUGACAGCACAUCAAAUUUACGUGUAUUUUAUUUCAUUUUUAUAGAUGAAUUCUGUAUUUACAUCCUUCCAUUCUUCCCCCCUCAAUUUUUCCUGUUUCCCUAACUCCUUUUAAAAUUCACAAUCUCUUAAUUAUUAUCAUUAUAUAUGAAUGCAUAUGUAUAUAUCUAUACAUGCUACACAAAUAUAGCAAUAAUAUUAUACACACCCACAACCUGUUGAGUUCCUUUAGUGUUCUCAUAUGUAUGUGAGUUUAGGGCUGACUACUUGGCAUUCUAAUUUUGAGCCUAGACUUUAAUGGCUGAGACAUCUCUCCAGCCCAGGGCUAGCCACUUAGGGUUAGAUAACCCAAUUGGUGGCUGGUCCCUGGAAAAGACUGCUUCUCCCUCUCUUAAUAGCCAUUGGUUACCUGUAGCUCUUCAUUGCAUGGUGGGGUCCUGUGAGUGAUAGCAUUUCAUGAUCCUUGCUAACGAUUUGGUCACUGUUUUCUUUUCAAAGAGCGAUACUGCCCAAGAUGUUUCUGCCCAGAGUGUCAGGGCAAGCGUACAUGCUUUACUGUGGAUCUAUGACACAGAUGCAUGCCCGCUUUCCAGCAAAAGUCUGCUCACCUGCUGGGCAGGGCUCUCCGUUUUUUUUUUUAUUGAGUGGUGAAGACACAUAGCAUUCCCACUACUUAAUCUUGACGCUUUGAACUUUUCAAGCUGUUUUUCCUUCCCCUUUAGUCUGGAUAGCCGCUGUGUCCCCACAAGAGGAGGAACAGUCAUGGAGAAACACAACUGAACUUUACUGUGGCAAAAAGAAAGGGAAAAUAACAAUUAUGAGGUCUGGACAUCGAGCCUGAGGCUGGUGUUAAAAAAAAAAGAAUGCUUAUGUCUGCAUAACUUAACUUGUAUCUCUUCAGUAAAUCAAACCUGCUAUUCCACUUGACUGCAUCCAAGUCACUUAGAUGUCUGCCAACAAGAACAUUAAUGAACUCAGUAUCUCACGCAGGUUUGUUCAUGUAGAGCCCACAAUUGCUUAGCCUCCCUUCCAGCUGCUGCCUGGGCUCCAUCUGAAGGAGGUGGACAGCUGGACCAGGUCAUCACUUAACCCCAGGAUGUGGUAUGUCCUGGUCUUCAAGUCCUCUGUCUGGUUUUAGGAUGGCAUGGCUUUGAAAAGUAGUAGUUCUUGUCCUGAAAAACUUCAUGAAGCUUUGCUGCGUUCUGCCUUUGACGUAAGUGCCUGUCACAUGCUACAUAACUGACUAUGUUGUACUCUUGCUCUCUGGGGUCUCAGUUUACCUCCAUGGAUUUAUAAUUAAUGGGAUUAUUCCAGAACACAUUGUUACUCCUUAGAUUUCUCCAGAUGAUACGAGACGAUUAAGAGAAAUGCUGAAGUUGAUAUGAACCUAAUUUGUCAAAAAUGUAACAGAAUUAUAGAGAGAUCAGUCACUCCCAAACCUUUCUGCAGGUGGAGUCUAACGAAGGGAGGUCUAUAAAGUUCUAAGUCCCAGGCUGCGUGCCAGACCAAUAAAACCACACUUCUGAGGAUGGGCUUCAGGCAACAGUAGUAUGUUCACUCCACAGGUCAUCCCCAUGUGGAGACAUGUUUGGAAACCACAGAUCUGGACAAGGCCGUUGGCAACACGUCUGUGGCUCGUUCUCCCCUGCCCUGCCCUGCGGUUGGUGGCAUGUUUUUGGCUUUUUAGCAUCUUCCUUAUCUCCAUCCACAGAGAACUCCGAAGUUGGAAGCCUAAGCAGGAACACUGGACCAGACAUGACUGAAAGGUAACAACCAUUAAAGGAGCAAAGACCAAAAAGUGUGUCUGAAGCAGAUGGCUGCACUUCCCGCUGGGUCGAUGCUAAUUUUUAAGCAUGUUACUAAUGACAAAGUUUUUUUUUUUUCCUCUUGCAAUUUCAGACACCAAAGACUUUUCAAACAGUUUGUGAACUCUGUUUAAUGAGAUACAAGUCUCUUUUAUGCUGUAAGCUUUAGACUUCCCUUGCUUUGGGACUUGGUUGGGUUAGUGACUGUGAAACAGGAAGUUCUAUGAGCACGGAGUGAGGACUGUCCACUUGUCAUGUUUAAAGAAUCACAAUCUGAUGCAAACAAAAGAGUAGGUAUUGAAAGCCUUACAUUUCUGUGUAUAGACAAUACAUUACUUAUUUAUAGAAAUAACUACUUAGCUGUCCAGAAACUGAGGGGAAGGGGGUUUAAUUAUAGCAACAAUGUUUACUCGUAGGUGAAUUUACAUGUUGGAGCUCAGAGCUCUAACACUGCACAAAUAAUUGCUUGCUGGCUUGUAAAAUUUUAGGACUAGCAGAGGAACUCAGUUAUUUUGCCAGCUCUACCUUGGGAGAGACAGAUUGAAAUAAAAUUGCAACUCGAGUUUUUGGAUGACUCCAAUUAUCUAAAUAGAUGUGGCCUUAAUUUAAAGAAGUUUAUGAACAAGUUCACUAUAUAUAUUUCACUAUUUUUAAGCUUUAGUCAACUUAGAAGCAAUGGAUACUUCGUUCCUGAUCUAUUGCUUACUUAAAAACUUUCCAUGCUAAUAUGUAAAAGACCUUGUGCUUCAUUCGUCUCUGACUGCUAGCACCGACCGAGCAGUAGAAACCAAAGACUCAUAGCUAUAAUCUAAUCAUUCAUAAUAUCUCUUAGGAAAAAAAAUUCCAGAAACAAUUCUGGUUGGGAAAUGCAUUUUUAAUAUGUAUAUAUAUAUGUAUACUGUACAUAAUUGUUCUGUAUAUAACUGUUUGAGGUGUAUUACUACAAUGGAAUGAGUCCCACAGGAUACUAGAAUUUAGCUUACAGUGUUGGAAGGCCGGAGAGUCCUGACUCCGUGACUAGUUCAUCUCAUGUUGAUUGGCAGGCACCAACAGCUGGACCACAUUAGCUGUUACACACGAGCCAGAACAAAAAGGCCAGGCUUACCACCUUAAAACCACCUCGUAGGCCCUCAGUGGAGGGGGCCCGGGAAGAUGACUUGAUGGUUAGAAGCAUUGGCUGCUUUUCCAGAGCACCCACAUGACAGCUAACAACCAUUUAUAGCUCUAGUUCCAGGGGACCUGAAGCCUUCUUCUGGCCUCUGCAAGCAGUGAACACCCCCUUUGCAUGGACAUACACGAAGGCCAAACACAUAAAAUAAAAUAAUAAACCUUCAGGGGCUCUAGAGCACUUCCUUCCCAAGGCAUGCUCUGCGGACUUCUUUCUUGGAGAUAGUCCAAGGCCUCACCUUUGAAAGGGAUGGCUACCUCUAAAUAUCACCACUGUGAAGACCCAGGGUACACUAUAUGAACACUCACAGAGACACAAACUCUAUUAAGAGUUUCUAUUAUUAGAAAUAAACUUUUAUCCAAGAUGUGGAAAUUACAAUGGUCACCAUUUUUCGUAUAAGAAUUUUAGCUCUAUCAUUACUGAGGAAAUUAUGAACAGCUGGAGUGUGCUACUAGCGUGUGUAGGACAUAGAGUCCAGGGGCCUGUGUCCACAUUGCAGUUACUCUAAUAUCCAGUGGCAUUUUAUUUGUCUUUUGCUAAAAUGCCUUUUUAAUGUACACAUUUGCAUUUUGUCCCAGAGGGCACUUGGGCCAAUCCACAGGAAAUGUCAUCUCCUGUCUGCCAGUUUUAAAUUUCAUUCCAAGGAAGGGCUGCCAUUAUAGAGUGUUGUUGCUGUUGUCCACUAUGCAGCCCUCCCUUGCUGCUCCGGAACUCACAGAGGUUUGCCUGCUUGGCUUCCCAAAGGAUUAAAGGUGUGUGGCACUUCUUUACCCUCCUCCCCCUUUUCCAGUUAAAAAAAGAGGAAACAGGUGUGUAAGGAGCACUUGCAUAGGCUUUGUUAGAUCGAAGUUUUUAGUCCAUAGACCUCAAAUUCUGAAAAGAGGUUAAGCUUUCAUAGGGAAAUUAUGAACUAAAAACACAGCUGUGCUCCUGUUUUGAUUCCAAAGAAAGAUUCAAUAAAAACAAUUGCAAACUUGUUAUUAGGUAAACUUCAGACUAGAAAAAGUGUAGAUUGAAUGAUGUAGCAUUGUUGAAUACCAUGAUAAAGGCAAUGAUCACACACAUACGCGCGCACGCGCGCGCACACACACACACACACACACACACACACACACACCACUUCUGGUAGAGAAUAUCCUUUUGUUCAGGCGUGCGUGAUGAAAGGCUACUGAGGCUGAACUUUUCACACAGUUUCUGUUAGCCAUAAACAGUAUGCCUUACCUUCUAGUUAAUGUAUAGCAAGCUUGGCGCUCACUCAAAUACAAUUUCCCAGAUCCUAGAUAUGGGCACGAGGCACCAGUCAAAGCUGCCCUCUUUGCCCAUUGACCUUACAACUAAUCUGAAACAGGCAUCUUUACCACAGCGAAUCCUGAGUUUACACACAGCCUUUAAAGUAUGUCCCUUAGUUUUGCUAGCUCUGAAAUGAGAAUAACCAUUCUGGUUCACCUUUUAUGGAUUUUCCAAAACAGUAGUUACAAUGCCCAUCUACAACUGCCAAUAAAUAAGUGAAAUAUUUGGUGGCUACUUAUCACAAUAAACAAAGAAAAUGUGAAUUUGAGUUUUAUAUCAAGGUGUGGACUGAGCUGUUUCAACUUUUCAGAGUGACUGCAUGAGCAGAUAUAAUAUAGCAAAGGAGAAUGAACCAUCUAAUUCAUACAUUAUAUAAUAAGUACAUACAUAUCCAAAUUUUAUUUACUAAAGUCUACCUCCUAACUCCUUGUCAAGGACAAAAUAUGUAAUUUUUUUGGUAUUAUGCUAAUUCAAGAGUUUACUUACGGUCACUGAACUGUCUACAUUCAGCUCGUACCAAAGUAAAUGGAUACAGGACAUUUUUUGCCCGUGCCAUAAGCAACAACUUGACAGGCCCCAUAAAGUUUUUGGUUACACAUAUUGAGUAACUACAUUUUGAAUUACAAGGAUGACAGACCCCAUGGCCAUUAAAAGUUACAACACCCCCACCCCAUUAGAUAUUGCAGUCAUAUCUAGCGUGUUCAUUUCUGCCUCCACAAUGGGUAACUAAGGAAACAAUGACAUCAUUGCCCAGCGGGGUUCAGUAACUUCUCCGCUUAGGCCUCUGGUUUGGGAAGCCUACAAUUUUUGCUAGCUCCCACCUCUGCCACUGGAAGAAACCCAUACAACUUUUCUUAUUUCUGAGAUACUGGUUAGGAAAAUUAUAUUCUAUCAUAAAUACAAAAUCAUAUUUAUAAUAACUUAAAUAAUAUACUGUACUGUUUCAGAAAAAAUGUUCUAAGGUGUACUAUUUCUGAGAAGUCCUGGGCAUUUGCAGUGGGAGAGUUUUUUGAGGUACAGUGACGAAACCAACUGUGUGAGUCCAGGUCCCCAAUAAUAAUCCCACCGAGCUAUGGCUUGUGGACCCUUGGCCUCUUGACAGCAUUCAACAAUAGAGUACUUUACUCUGUUUUGUUUUGUUUUCUUUAAGUGCUGGCCCUCUUUGUGCUUUGAAUUGUCCCUCAAAGGUUCAUGUUUGAAAGACUUGGUCCUCAGCUUGUGCGUUACUUUGAUGGCUGUGAAGUUUUCAGGGGGGUGGAGCCUUGAGGAUUGGGAUUAGGGGACUAGGGGUGGGCCUUUGAAGGUAAUCCCAUCCCUGGUCCCAUCUAGAUGGCCCUAGAACUCUGCUUCCUGUUGUGAUAUGACCUCAUGCUUGCGCUCUAGCACAACAGCCUAAACGUCUAUGGCCACUACAUUCUCCCCACCGUGGUGGACUGAAAUCCUCUGACUCUAUGAGCAAAAAUAAACCAUUCCUCCAGUAAAUUGCUCCUGUGAGGUAUUUGGUCACAGUGGUGAGAAAAAUCACUUGUGCAUUUUCCCCAAAAGUAGAGCCCAUGAUAAAACGUGUGAGUGUGUGUGUGUGUGUGUGUGUGUGUGUGUGUGUGUGUGUGUGUGUGUGUGUUGGCGGGGGUGGGGGUGAGGGGUAAUUUGGGCAAAGAUUCCAAGGAGCUUCACUUAGCAUUUAGAGUGCCAAAGGUGAGUUCAAAGUUAUGUUUUGGAGGCGUCCACAAUUACAGGUGAUUCCUGAAGAGAGUUGCGUGCCUUAGAACUGUCUGUGAGGGGGUCAAAGGGGAGCGAGCAUCUCAUGGGUCUUACCCCUCACAUCUCUGGGACAGAUUUACAAGCAUCACCUGCUCAGUUCCAGCUUCCGCAUGACGGCUGGUGGAUUCCUGAAGACUCCUACUCCAAGGGUACAGAGACUAAGGGCAGAAGUACCUGAGUGAGCAGGUACGCAGCCUCCUCAGUCUCCUUGCAGCAGUGAAUGGAGCUUACACUGAGCCAACAAUAGAAGAAAAACCACUCCACUUCCCUCACAAAGCUCUGGAGUAACUGGAUGGGGGAUUGGUGCUCACCUACUACAAGUCUCCCUCACUGUGAUUGUCAAACUUUUUCUCUCACAGGACUAAGCACCUUCUCUGUC